This 498-nucleotide ribosomal RNA is filed under the name uncultured bacterium. Its description in RNAcentral is "partial 16S ribosomal RNA". It matches the Rfam family "Bacterial small subunit ribosomal RNA", at positions 30 to 523 of the family's 1533-position model. The record is from RNAcentral.
AUUGAACGCUGGCGGCAUGCCUUACACAUGCAAGUCGAACGGCAGCACGGGGCAACCUGGUGGCGAGUGGCGAACGGGUGAGUAAUGCAUCGGAACGUACCUUUCAGUGGGGGAUAACGUAGCGAAAGUUACGCUAAUACCGCAUAUUCUGUGAGCAGGAAAGCAGGGGAUCGCAAGACCUUGCGCUGAUUGAGCGGCCGAUGUCAGAUUAGCUAGUUGGUGAGGUAAAGGCUCACCAAGGCGACGAUCUGUAGCGGGUCUGAGAGGAUGAUCCUCCACACUGGAACUGAGACACGGUCCAGACUCCUACGGGAGGCAGCAGUGGGGAAUUUUGGACAAUGGGGGCAAACCUGAGCCAGCCAUGCCGCGUGAGUGAAGAAGGCCUUCGGGUUGUAAAGCUCUUUCGGCCGGGAAGAAAUCGCACGGGCUAAUACCCUGUGUGGAUGACGGUACCGGAAUAAGAAGCACCGGCUAACUACGUGCCAGCCGCCGCCGUAA